RNAcentral lists this ribosomal RNA (497 nucleotides) under uncultured bacterium. Its description in RNAcentral is "partial 16S ribosomal RNA". It matches the Rfam family "Bacterial small subunit ribosomal RNA", at positions 28 to 507 of the family's 1533-position model. The record is from RNAcentral.
GAUGAACGCUGGCGGCGUGCCUAAUACAUGCAAGUCGAGCGAACAGACGAGGAGCUUGCUCCUUUGACGUUAGCGGCGGACGGGUGAGUAACACGUAGGUAACCUACCUAUAAGACUGGGAUAACUUCGGGAAACCGGAGCUAAUACCGGAUAAUAUUUCGAACCGCAUGGUUCGAUAGUGAAAGAUGGCUUUGCUAUCACUUAUAGAUGGACCUGCGCCGUAUUAGCUAGUUGGUAAGGUAACGGCUUACCAAGGCAACGAUACGUAGCCGACCUGAGAGGGUGAUCGGCCACACUGGAACUGAGACACGGUCCAGACUCCUACGGGAGGCAGCAGUAGGGAAUCUUCCGCAAUGGGCGAAAGCCUGACGGAGCAGCGCCGCGUGAGUGAUGAAGGUCUUCGGAUCGUAAAGCUCUGUUAUUAGGGAAGAACAAACGUGUAAGUAACUGUGCACGUCUUGACGGUACCUAAUCAGAAAGCCACGGCUAACUACGUG